Molecule: ribosomal RNA, 624 nt
Filed under: uncultured archaeon
Lineage: Archaea
Description: bacterial SSU rRNA
Rfam family: Archaeal small subunit ribosomal RNA
Source: RNAcentral
UAAUACCCUAUAGGUUACAGAUGCUGGAAUGCUCUGUAAUCAAAAGUUCCGGCGCCCUAGGAUGGAUCUGCGGCCGAUUAGGUUGUUGUUGGGGUAAUGGCCCAACAAGCCAGUAAUCGGUACGGGUUGUGGGAGCAAGAGCCCGGAGUUGGAUUCUGAGACACGAAUCCAGGCCCUACGGGGCGCAGCAGGCGCGAAAACUUUACAAUGCGGGCAACCGUGAUAAGGGAACCUCGAGUGCCUGUAAAUGCAGGCUGUUCAGAUGCCUAAAACACAUCUGGAGAAAGGGCCGGGCAAGACCGGUGCCAGCCGCCGCGGUAAUACCGGCGGCUCGAGUGGUGGCCACUUUUAUUGGGCUUAAAGCGUUCGUAGCUGGGUUGUUAAGUCUCUUGGGAAAUCUGGCGGCUUAACCGUCAGGCGUCUAAGGGAUACUGGCAAUCUUGGAACCGGGAGAGGUGAGGGGUACUUCGGGGGCAGGAGUGAAAUCCUGUAAUCCUCGAGGGACCACCUGUGGCGAAGGCGCCUCACCAGAACGGCUUCGACAGUGAGGGACGAAAGCUGGGGGAGCAAACCGGAUUAGAUACCCGGGUAGUCCCAGCCGUAAACUAUGCGCGUUAGGUGUAU